Molecule: non-coding RNA, 530 nt
Organism: Arachis ipaensis
Lineage: Eukaryota; Viridiplantae; Streptophyta; Magnoliopsida; Fabales; Fabaceae
Source: RefSeq, a predicted model, not a curated record
AUUCAAAGGCAUUUGGAGAAGAGAGGUCUGCUAGGGUUUCUCUCUUUAUCAAUUUCUGCUAGAAUUUUCAAUCGCUGUCUCUCUCUCUUCCUCUUCCCUUAUUGGAAAUCUCAAUAUCUUCCUCUUCCCCUCGCUGCCGCAACCUGCGUCCACCGCCGCACAACAUACCGCCGCCGCGCAAGACGCCGCCGCCGCCGUGCAAGACGAGAAACUGAGAGAGAUUAGAGUUCUUGGAGAGCAUCAACGAGACUGAUUAAAUCUCCUUCCGAAAUAGAUUUCAGGAAAGAUGAAAAGGUACAGAACUACAGAUUUUAAAAUCUCUCAGUGUUGAACUCUUCAUUUCAACGGAUCCUACUGUAAGUUUCUUCCUCACUGUGGUUCACUUUUUGAUUAGUUAGGACUUAAUUAAAUUGCAUGAAUUAAUUUGAUAGGAUCAUAGCUUUUUCCUUUGCUGUGUAAAUAGAUUGUGUUUGUUGUUUGUAUAUUGAAUUAGUAGAUUACUGCUAGAGUAGGAAGGGAUUUGAGCUGAA